CUAUGGCACUCCAGCAGUAUGUAACACUAACUGACAAGUAUGAACUGUCAUUGUGGUAUCCAGGGUGCAAAUGCUCUGAAGAGGGGCUGUUUCCUGGUGUUUAUUUCUUUGCAAUACUCUCAAUUUAUUCUGCAAAUAGUCCGUAGUAUAAAGUAGCAUAACUUAAAAUUUUGACCUGUGAUGGUGCAAAAGGCACUAUGAGGUCAAGAGAAAACCCAUUCUGAACACUGACUUUUCAUAUGUCAGUUCUCAGCUCUGGGCUAUGUAUUAAGAUUGAGAUCCUAGUAAGUCAUAUAAUCCCAAAGAUGAACAUAUUUCACUGUGUUGCUGAUCUGUAAUGAAGCUGAAGAAGUUUGUCCUUAAUAGAGUCUGGACUCCAAGGGCAUCUGCAGGUCCCAUUAGGCAAGGAGCAUCUGCGUCAUUGUUGUUUGUAUGAGCAGAUGAGUAUCAGUGAUGUGGUGACUAUCAGUUUCAAGAGUUUGAUGUAUAAUGCACUCUUGACUUGUCUUAGUGCUAUUUUUUCAGAACACUCUGGCUAGGCAUAACCAGCUGAUGUGUCACGAGGUCACACAGGAACCUAUGGAAUCUUCUUUAGUGAGAAUGGAAUCUUCUUUACGAAUUCAUUAAGUAGAUCUACCAACCUUAUCAUCAGAUUCAGACACCAUCUUUAAUCAACCUUGGGAGAGAUCCUGAAUGAAACUCACCCAGUUAAGCUGAUUUUGAGUUCCUGACAUCUGAAAUCUGAGAGAGAAUAACUUUUGUGCUGCUUUGAUCUAAUCAUUUUUAUAAUUAUAUAUUGUUAAUUGAUUGUACCAUUGGAGCUCCUAAACUGCUACAUUUUGGAGUAAUAUAUUCUCAAACACUCAACAACAAAUGCAAACAUUGUGGAAAAUUAUCUUCUACUGAGCCUACUUUCAUGACUAGAGCUCUGUGCGAAAUGUUUAGGAGAAGCCAUCUGAACUAAAUCAGAUAUGGGCUCUCAGCCAUUAACUAGAACCAUGCCUGCCACCCUGCUGCCAUCUUCCUGAAAUGCUGAUCAUGGACUCACCCUCUGAAGUUGUAAGCUCCCAUUAAAUGCUUUCUUUUAUAA
Peromyscus eremicus (cactus mouse) is the source of this 1090-nucleotide long non-coding RNA. RefSeq lists it as uncharacterized. The record is from RefSeq and is a predicted model, not a curated record. The transcript has 2 exons. NCBI's taxonomy places the organism in Eukaryota, Metazoa, Chordata, Mammalia, Rodentia, Cricetidae.